RNAcentral lists this ribosomal RNA (198 nucleotides) under uncultured bacterium. RNAcentral describes it as "partial 16S ribosomal RNA". It matches the Rfam family "Bacterial small subunit ribosomal RNA", at positions 329 to 539 of the family's 1533-position model. The record is from RNAcentral.
ACGCUGACACCUACGGGAGACAGCAGUGGGGAAUAUUGGGCAAUGGGCGCAAGCCUGACCCAGCAACGCCGCGUGAAGGAAGAAGGCCCUCGGGUUGUAAACUUCUUUUGACAGGGACGAAACAAAUGACGGUACCUGUCGAAUAAGCCACGGCUAACUACGUGCCAGCAGGCGGUAAUCUGAGCGGGCUGGCAAGGC